GCCACCGUAGCUCAAUGGUAGAGCAAUCGCUUCGUAAGCGAUCGGUUAAGGGUUCGAUUCCCUUCGGUGGCU
RNAcentral lists this transfer RNA (72 nucleotides) under Chloroflexota bacterium. RNAcentral describes it as "Chloroflexi bacterium tRNA-Thr". It matches the Rfam family "tRNA". Rfam says of the family: Transfer RNA (tRNA) molecules are approximately 80 nucleotides in length. The record is from RNAcentral. RNAcentral also lists the same sequence under 2 other names. Lineage: Bacteria; Bacillati; Chloroflexota.